Molecule: ribosomal RNA, 2921 nt
Filed under: Staphylococcus aureus
Lineage: Bacteria; Bacillati; Bacillota; Bacilli; Caryophanales; Staphylococcaceae
Description: 23S ribosomal RNA
Rfam family: Bacterial large subunit ribosomal RNA
Source: RNAcentral
UUAAGUUAUUAAGGGCGCACGGUGGAUGCCUUGGCACUAGAAGCCGAUGAAGGACGUUACUAACGACGAUAUGCUUUGGGGAGCUGUAAGUAAGCUUUGAUCCAGAGAUUUCCGAAUGGGGAAACCCAGCAUGAGUUAUGUCAUGUUAUCGAUAUGUGAAUACAUAGCAUAUCAGAAGGCACACCCGGAGAACUGAAACAUCUUAGUACCCGGAGGAAGAGAAAGAAAAUUCGAUUCCCUUAGUAGCGGCGAGCGAAAAGGGGAGAGCCCAAACCAACAAGCUUGCUUGUUGGGGUUGUAGGACACUCUAUACGGAGUUACAAAGGACGACAUUAGACGAAUCAUCUGGAAAGAUGAAUCAAAGAAGGUAAUAAUCCUGUAGUCGAAAAUGUUGUCUCUCUUGAGUGGAUCCUGAGUACGACGGAGCACGUGAAAUUCCGUCGGAAUCUGGGAGGACCAUCUCCUAAGGCUAAAUACUCUCUAGUGACCGAUAGUGAACCAGUACCGUGAGGGAAAGGUGAAAAGCACCCCGGAAGGGGAGUGAAAUAGAACCUGAAACCGUGUGCUUACAAGUAGUCAGAGCCCGUUAAUGGGUGAUGGCGUGCCUUUUGUAGAAUGAACCGGCGAGUUACGAUUUGAUGCAAGGUUAAGCAGUAAAUGUGGAGCCGUAGCGAAAGCGAGUCUGAAUAGGGCGUUUAGUAUUUGGUCGUAGACCCGAAACCAGGUGAUCUACCCUUGGUCAGGUUGAAGUUCAGGUAACACUGAAUGGAGGACCGAACCGACUUACGUUGAAAAGUGAGCGGAUGAACUGAGGGUAGCGGAGAAAUUUCAAUCGAACCUGGAGAUAGCUGGUUCUCUCCGAAAUAGCUUUAGGGCUAGCCUCAAGUGAUGAUUAUUGGAGGUAGAGCACUGUUUGGACGAGGGGCCCCUCUCGGGUUACCGAAUUCAGACAAACUCCGAAUGCCAAUUAAUUUAACUUGGGAGUCAGAACAUGGGUGAUAAGGUCCGUGUUCGAAAGGGAAACAGCCCAGACCACCAGCUAAGGUCCCAAAAUAUAUGUUAAGUGGAAAAGGAUGUGGCGUUGCCCAGACAACUAGGAUGUUGGCUUAGAAGCAGCCAUCAUUUAAAGAGUGCGUAAUAGCUCACUAGUCGAGUGACACUGCGCCGAAAAUGUACCGGGGCUAAACAUAUUACCGAAGCUGUGGAUUGUCCUUUGGACAAUGGUAGGAGAGCGUUUUAAGGGCGUUGAAGCAUGAUCGUAAGGACAUGUGGAGCGCUUAGAAGUGAGAAUGCCGGUGUGAGUAGCGAAAGACGGGUGAGAAUCCCGUCCCCCGAUUGACUAAGGUUUCCAGAGGAAGGCUCGUCCGCUCUGGGUUAGUCGGGUCCUAAGCUGAGGCCGACAGGCGUAGGCGAAGGAUAACAGGUUGAUAUUCCUGUACCACCUAUAAUCGUUUUAAUCGAUGGGGGGACGCAGUAGGAUAGGCGAAGCGUGCGAUUGGAUUGCACGUCUAAGCAGUAAGGCUGAGUAUUAGGCAAAUCCGGUACUCGUUAAGGCUGAGCUGUGAUGGGGAGAAGACAUUGUGUCUUCGAGUCGUUGAUUUCACACUGCCGAGAAAAGCCUCUAGAUAGAAAAUAGGUGCCCGUACCGCAAACCGACACAGGUAGUCAAGAUGAGAAUUCUAAGGUGAGCGAGCGAACUCUCGUUAAGGAACUCGGCAAAAUGACCCCGUAACUUCGGGAGAAGGGGUGCUCUUUAGGGUUAACGCCCAGAAGAGCCGCAGUGAAUAGGCCCAAGCGACUGUUUAUCAAAAACACAGGUCUCUGCUAAACCGUAAGGUGAUGUAUAGGGGCUGACGCCUGCCCGGUGCUGGAAGGUUAAGAGGAGUGGUUAGCUUCUGCGAAGCUACGAAUCAAAGCCCCAGUAAACGGCGGCCGGAACUAUAACGGUCCCAAGGUAGCGAAAUUCCUUGUCGGGGAAGUUCCGACCCGCACGAAAGGCGUAACGAUUUGGGCACUGUCUCAACGAGAGACUCGGUGAAAUCAUAGUACCUGUGAAGAUGCAGGUUACCCGCGACAGGACGGAAAGACCCCGUGGAGCUUUACUGUAGCCUGAUAUUGAAAUUCGGCACAGCUUGUACAGGAUAGGUAGGAGACUUUGAAACGUGAGCGCUAGCUUACGUGGAGGCGCUGGUGGGAUACUACCCUAGCUGUGUUGGCUUUCUAACCCGCACCACUUAUCGUGGUGGGAGACAGUGUCAGGCGGGCAGUUUGACUGGGGCGGUCGCCUCCUAAAAGGUAACGGAGGCGCUCAAAGGUUCCCUCAGAAUGGUUGGAAAUCAUUCAUAGAGUGUAAAGGCAUAAGGGAGCUUGACUGCGAGACCUACAAGUCGAGCAGGGUCGAAAGACGGACUUAGUGAUCCGGUGGUUCCGCAUGGAAGGGCCAUCGCUCAACGGAUAAAAGCUACCCCGGGGAUAACAGGCUUAUCUCCCCCAAGAGUUCACAUCGACGGGGAGGUUUGGCACCUCGAUGUCGGCUCAUCGCAUCCUGGGGCUGUAGUCGGUCCCAAGGGUUGGGCUGUUCGCCCAUUAAAGCGGUACGCGAGCUGGGUUCAGAACGUCGUGAGACAGUUCGGUCCCUAUCCGUCGUGGGCGUAGGAAAUUUGAGAGGAGCUGUCCUUAGUACGAGAGGACCGGGAUGGACAUACCUCUGGUGUACCAGUUGUCGUGCCAACGGCAUAGCUGGGUAGCUAUGUGUGGACGGGAUAAGUGCUGAAAGCAUCUAAGCAUGAAGCCCCCCUCAAGAUGAGAUUUCCCAACUUCGGUUAUAAGAUCCCUCAAAGAUGAUGAGGUUAAUAGGUUCGAGGUGGAAGCAUGGUGACAUGUGGAGCUGACGAAUACUAAUCGAUCGAAGACUUAAUCAA